AAGUCGUAACAAGGUUUCCGUAGGUGAACCUGCGGAAGGAUCAUUGUCGAAUAACAAACCGGGGGGCGUGCUUUGGCCUUGCACCGAUGGAGACGUCGUGCUUUUGCAGGCCUUUGUGCGUUUCUCAUCCAUAUUCAAACCCCUGUGCACCUUUGGGAAAGGCAGGGCCUUUCGAGGCUCUGUUGGACCCGACCUUUCACAAACUCUGUAAAUGUCAUUUUGAAUGUCCUGGCGGCGUAUGCUGUCCUAAAUCAAAUAACAACUUUCAACAACGGAUCUCUUGGCUCUC
This 289-nucleotide unclassified non-coding RNA is filed under the name air metagenome. RNAcentral's name for it is "partial contains small subunit ribosomal RNA, internal transcribed spacer 1, and 5.8S ribosomal RNA". The stretch from base 1 to 46 matches the Rfam family "Eukaryotic small subunit ribosomal RNA", at positions 1786 to 1831 of the family's 1831-position model. The record is from RNAcentral.